Streptomyces hygroscopicus is the source of this 99-nucleotide non-coding RNA. NCBI's taxonomy places the organism in Bacteria, Bacillati, Actinomycetota, Actinomycetes, Kitasatosporales, Streptomycetaceae. The record is from Rfam.
GAGAGCCCGGUACUCGGAGACGGGUACGCCGGGUUCGGCGAGCGGCACGGAGAAACGGACCGGUGGCAACACCGGCACCGCGCUCCGUGCCGACUCAAC